RNAcentral lists this ribosomal RNA (253 nucleotides) under uncultured bacterium. Its description in RNAcentral is "partial 16S ribosomal RNA". It matches the Rfam family "Bacterial small subunit ribosomal RNA", at positions 524 to 776 of the family's 1533-position model. The record is from RNAcentral.
UACGUAGGGUGCGAGCGUUGUCCGGAAUUAUUGGGCGUAAAGGGCUCGUAGGCGGUUUGUCGCGUCGGGAGUGAAAACUCAGGGCUUAACCCUGAGCCUGCUUCCGAUACGGGCAGACUAGAGGUAUGCAGGGGAGAACGGAAUUCCUGGUGUAGCGGUGAAAUGCGCAGAUAUUAGGAGGAACACCGGUGGCGAAGGCGGGUCUCUGGGCCGAUACUGACGCUGAGGAGCGAAAGCGUGGGGAGCGAACAGG